RNAcentral lists this unclassified non-coding RNA (279 nucleotides) under plant metagenome. RNAcentral describes it as "partial contains small subunit ribosomal RNA, internal transcribed spacer 1, and 5.8S ribosomal RNA". The record is from RNAcentral.
UUUCCGUAGGUGAACCUGCGGAGGGAUCAUUACUGAUUUCAUGUCCUACCGGGUCGAUCUCCCACCCUAUGUUAUUAUUACUUUGUUGCCUUUGUGGUCCUUUAGGCUCCGGCCCGACUACUUGCUCCGGCUGUUAAGCUCUCGCCACUGUUCUCAAAACCCUGAAUAAUUAUGACUUUCGACUACUAAUCUAUAGUUAAAACUUUCAACAACGGACCCCGUGGUUCUGGAAACCACGAAGAACGCAUCAGGUCGGAGUAGCAAACGUCUUAACUCGAA